RNAcentral lists this long non-coding RNA (348 nucleotides) under Homo sapiens (human). Its description in RNAcentral is "non-protein coding lnc-SPOPL-6:1". The record is from RNAcentral. Lineage: Eukaryota; Metazoa; Chordata; Mammalia; Primates; Hominidae.
CUCUGUCGCCCAGGCUGCAGUGAGGUGGCAUGAUCUCGGCUCACUACAAUCUCUGCCUCCUGGGUUCAAGCAAUUCUCCCUGCCUCAGUCUCCCAAGUAGCUGGGAUUACAGGCACCUGGACCAUGUCCGGCUAAUUUUUUUUUUUUUUUUUUUUUUUUUUUUUUUUUUUUUCUUUUUUUUUUUUAGUAGAGACAGGGAUUUGCUAUGUUGCCCAGGCUGGUACUGAACUCCCGACCUCAGGUGAUCUGCCCUCCGCAGCCUCCCAGUGUGCUGGGAUUACAGGCGUGAGCUACUGUGCCUGACCAACAAAACUGGUUUUCUGAAAAGAUAAAGAAAAUUGAUAGACC